GCUUACGGCCACACCGCGGGUUCACGCCCGAUCUCGUUUGAUCUCGGAAGCUAAGAUAGGUUAGGCCUGGUUAGUACUUGGAUGGGAGACCGCCUGGGAAUACCAGGUGCUGUAAGCU
Molecule: ribosomal RNA, 118 nt
Organism: Scophthalmus maximus (turbot)
Lineage: Eukaryota; Metazoa; Chordata; Actinopteri; Pleuronectiformes; Scophthalmidae
Source: Ensembl